GACAAAAAUGCUGCCGACAAAACAAAACACGAUCGCAGCCGCCGUCGCCGCCGCCGUCGCCCUGCGCUCGUGUCCUCUCCAUCUCCCGCCUGCCGGAUGUCCGCCCGGAGCUCCACCUCCUCAAACCCUGCCAGUGCUCUGCCCCUUCCUCCUCGUUUGUCGCUCAGGGGCAUGGCGUCGUCUGGGACGUACCAGCCCGCACCCUCAAGGAGGCGGAGGACGCCUGCCUCCUUGCCGGUCCUGGCGCCUCCAAUGGCCGGCCGGCUCCAGUAGCAGCCACCAACGUACGUGAUCUCCCCCGGCUACCUUUAUCUAAAGCUCAAGGCUCGAAGGGAUGAGGUGGGCCAAGCCGGCGCACACGGCAAGUGGAUGCGGCUGCAGCUCCGACGAGGGCGCCGCAGAGGUGUAUGUGGAGCUGCUGCGGCUGGCGAUGGACGGCCGCGACGGCGACGUCAGCUUCCACGAGUUCAAUCACCUCCACUGCUACAUCAGGUUUGUUGCUUUCUCGCCUUUGGGUCCGGUCGAGGCUUUGAUUUGGUUGCUUUGUUCGACAGUUCCACUCUCCUGCGUCGAUCUGACAUCUGAUGGAUAAAGUAACUAAAUCAGUUGAAUUGAUGCACACUGUCAAUUCUGUGACCAAACAGGGAUGACAUUCUCACCAUGAAUUACAGAAGCUCAUACUCGCUAAACAGGUAGCUAGGGUGUAAUCAUGCACAAAGCGUUGGGUUCUCCAUGGAUCGUUUUGCGAUAACUACAACCAUGAGAGAACUUGAACUUAUUUGGGUGGCAAAUAGGAUGCACAUUGAGAAUCUCAACUCCUUGAUUCCCCCCUGUACUGAAUAGUGGUUGAACAGCAGGUUAAGGGAGCAUUCCUCAAAUUUUUUGGGGUUCAAUGGAAACGCAGGAGUGUGGAGAAUUAAGGCACUCGAGGACUCAGGAAUGUGGAUGGAGAGAACGACAGUUGAAGACAUGGAUAUUGCUGUGCGAGCACAUAUAAAGGGAUGGAAGUUUCUGUAUGGAAUUCUUAACGAUGUUCAGUGUCGGUGUGAAUUGUCGGAGUCAUACGAAGCAUACAGAAAACAACAAGAUAGAUGGCAUUCUGGUCCGGUGCAGUUGUUUAGACUCUGCUUUGUGGACAUUAUCAAAUCAAAGGUAUUAACGUAGGCAUAUUUUGAAAGAUGAGUUUUAUUUUCCGGGGAAAAGGAUAAGUUGAACUGCAUUAUAUUGAGCAGGAUGUUCAAAAUAUAGUUCCACUGUAAUUAUACUUCAUUUAAGUUUGUCAUUUUCUUGGAGUUGACAAGAUUUUACCUGCACUCAGUUGGAUAAUUAAGUACAGUUUGAUUAGUAUGACAAGUUAUGCCAGCAGGAUGAAUAUUUACAAGGUUGAUUAUCUCCCAGGAAGACAACUAGGAAGUAUGUUUGCAAAAUUGCAAGUUUUCAUGACUAAAUUAUAUAAUUAUAUAAACUGUGUUCCGCUUGAAGUUUGGUCAGUUAAAAUCAUGUUGACUCGCCUAUUCUUUAAUGGUUCUAUUUUGAUCAUAUAAUUAGAUUUACAUCUUGACUCGCUUGAUUUGAUAAAUUCCAUUCUUACCAAGGGUCAUCAUUUAUGUAUUUCCUCUUUGGAGGGCGAUCUUGUUGCCCACCGAGAAGCAAUCCAAGCAGCAGAGAGUAGGGUCUACGCCGAACCUCGACUCCCUAUCAAAGGAGGGGAAGUGGCUGCGAGCACGGCGUUGGGUCGAUGGUGUCGUGCCUCGGCAGCCGAGAUCAGGCAAGGCAGAUGGGAAGCAACAGUGUCGCCUCUCCCCCGAGCUCCAGAUCCAUGGCAGCAGCAAUGAGGUGAGCAGCCGCAAAGGUUCCCACCUGAACAGAUCGAGCUGUGACACCGGUACAACCACAACCUCCAAUACUACUACGACUGAUAGCUAUCUUCUACCCAAAUUGAUCAGGUUGGGGAUGGAGGGUGGUAAAAGGACCAUGUUAUCAUAGCAGUGGCGGUGGCUCAUCUUGGGUUACUCCGUCAUCCUAUAAAGUCGCCGACAGUCUAUCAGAUCUCUAGGAGGUGGCGUCCAGUGGUGAUGUCAGAAUGGCAGGGCCAGCUGUUGAUCCUGUAUGGCGUAUAGCACCGUAGAUGAAGUUCUUUGCCUGUCGCACCACUGUGCAGUUCAAGCCACUUACUAAUCCCUCCAUCUCAUUCUACUCUGCUCACAAGGCGUUUGACAGAUUGCAUCAUAUGUUCUUUCUUCACCAUUGUCUCUUAAUAUCAAUUGAACUCUGACAUUUCCCCUUCAUAUAUAUGGCGACCGAUACAAUAGCAUGCGGAUGUUUUGAAGUUGAGGCAGCUGAUGUUAUAUGUACCCCCUAUACCGAAGAAGUGGGCAUUCCAAUGGAUAGAUUGGGUCAAAUGUAAUCCAUAUAUACUACUUUUGAGAUCCGAUGGAGACAAGAAAAAUCGUGUUGCUGCUUCUGCUUUCGAUUGAACUCAGGACGACAAGCACUGAUUAUAUUAAAUUGUGAUAGCCGCUGCUGACACAGCUACUAUGGGCACGUGCAACUUCUAUUUUGCUCGCCACCAGAGACCACCGCCUAGAUCCAUCUCUUCUCAACCAUGCCGACACGGUGGUCAAGGGCGCUUACAACCUGUGAGGACCUGCGUUCUCCUUCUCUCGAGCCUUCGUCGCGAUGAAGCCGUGGGAGGAGAGGGGCACGCGCAUGAUGGAUCUGCUCAAGCACCUCAAGCAGCGCAUCUUCAAGGUACAGCUGCCAUCAACAUAAAUGUGGCUAUGUUGGAAGAUGGUACAGAAAUGUUCAUGCCGCUCAAAGCUAUUUGCAUGAAGCACUAUUAUUAGUAGUUACAGAAGAUGGCACUUACAAGGGUAUCCACCUCCUAUGAUGGAUAUUUUCGCUGUAGAACUUAUGCUAACUGGAUAUCAUAAUAUAUAUUAUCCAUGUAAGAAUCUAUUCAUUCUCAUUUUGUGAGUUCUCCUUAAUCGUUAUUUGAUUUUUAGAAUUUCACAUGAUGAUCCUUCAGGACCAUGUCAGUGUCUCCUAGAGAUUAGGUUCUUGUUUAGCUAAUGCUCGUGUUGCUGCUUAGAUGGCGAAACAUUGAAUCCUUUAGUGUCCAUAACAUUGCUUUGCAAACCCCCGCAAAGGAAAACAUUGCUUUGCAAACCUCUGGGACACUAGGGAUUGAUUGUAUUGCUUGGUUCCGGUAUCUGAGGAUCAUUUAUGCUGAAACAUUGUGGUGCUUUGCUAACUGAUGGUUGUUAUUUGUACUUGUCAAGAAAACUUGAGGCUAACGACCAUUAGUUCAAAUUUACUAGAGAACAAAUGUGUGUGUGUGUGUGUGUGUAAAAAUGGCUGAACAGAGUGGUUAAAUAUAAAAACAUACUCAGCCAGGUUAUGGAACAACUGAACAGAGUGGUGGAUUGGCUGGCGAAGCGUUUUGGCACUUGGUUAAAUAUAAGGUCUGAGCAUCGAAGGCGUUCUCAAAAGACGUUCGGAUAGGUCUUUCCCUUCUCGACCAUGGUUAGCGUUUUUCAGAAACGCUGUGUUAGACUUUUGAAGGCAUUUUUCCAGCCUUCAAAGGCAUUUAUUAAUGCCUCCUAAUUACUACCGUGUUUUAGUGUUGCCUCUUUUGGUUUGUGGGUCGGUGUUGAAGAUGCCCUAAAAGGAUAUGUAUUAUUCAUUUUCUUUUCCUUUUUUUUUGGCUUAAGAGAAAGUAUGGAUGGUAUUAUUG
Non-coding RNA from Aegilops tauschii subsp. strangulata, 3736 nucleotides. Lineage: Eukaryota; Viridiplantae; Streptophyta; Magnoliopsida; Poales; Poaceae. The record is from RefSeq and is a predicted model, not a curated record.